CAGCAGCCGCGGUAAAACGUAGGGUGCAAGCGUUGUCCGGAAUUAUUGGGCGUAAAGAGCUCGUAGGCGGUUAGUCACGUCGGCUGUGAAAACCUGGGGCUCAACCCCGGGCCUGCAGCCGAUACGGGCUAACUAGAGUUCGGCAGGGGAGACUGGAAUUCCUGGUGUAGCGGUGAAAUGCGCAGAUAUCAGGAGGAACACCGGUGGCGAAGGCGGGUCUCUGGGCCGAUACUGACGCUGAGGAGCGAAAGCGUAGGGAGCAAACAGGAUUAGAUACCCCGGUAGUCCCUGUCUCUUAUAC
This 301-nucleotide ribosomal RNA is filed under the name uncultured bacterium. RNAcentral describes it as "partial 16S ribosomal RNA". It matches the Rfam family "Bacterial small subunit ribosomal RNA", at positions 509 to 807 of the family's 1533-position model. The record is from RNAcentral.